GAUGUAGCUCAGUGGUGGAGGGCUUGCCUUGCAUGUGCAAGGCCCUGGGUUUGAACCCCAGCAAUGCA
RNAcentral lists this transfer RNA (68 nucleotides) under Marmota monax (woodchuck). RNAcentral describes it as "tRNA.Ala". Lineage: Eukaryota; Metazoa; Chordata; Mammalia; Rodentia; Sciuridae. The record is from RNAcentral.